AUUGAACGCUGGCGGCAUGCUUUACACAUGCAAGUCGAACGGUAACAGGCCGCCAGGUGCUGCCGAGUGGCGAACGGGUGCGUAAUGCAUCGGAACGUGCCCAGUCGUGGGGGAUAACUACUCGAAAGAGUAGCUAAUACCGCAUACGAUCUAUGGAUGAAAGCGGGGGACCGUAAGGCCUCGCGCGAUUGGAGCGGCCGAUGUCAGAUUAGGUAGUUGGUGGGGUAAAGGCUCACCAAGCCAACGAUCUGUAGCUGGUCUGAGAGGACAACCAGCCACACUGGGACUGAGACACGGCCCAGACUCCUACGGGAGGCAGCAGUGGGGAAUUUUGGACAAAGGGCGCAAGCCUGAUCCAGCAAUGCCGCGUGCAGGAAGAAGGCCUUCGGGUUGUAAACUGCUUUUGUACGGAACGAAACGGCUCUGGUUAAUACCCGGGGCUAAUGACGGUACCGUAAGAAUAAGCACCGGCUAACUACGUG
RNAcentral lists this ribosomal RNA (482 nucleotides) under uncultured bacterium. RNAcentral describes it as "partial 16S ribosomal RNA". It matches the Rfam family "Bacterial small subunit ribosomal RNA", at positions 30 to 507 of the family's 1533-position model. The record is from RNAcentral.